RNAcentral lists this long non-coding RNA (1285 nucleotides) under Equus caballus (horse). RNAcentral describes it as "lncRNA (ENSECAG00000054510.1)". Lineage: Eukaryota; Metazoa; Chordata; Mammalia; Perissodactyla; Equidae. The record is from RNAcentral.
AUUCACUCAAGAUUCUUCUCUGUACUACUCUUACCUAAGAUGAAUCACAAAAGAACAUGUUGAUUGGGCGGAGGAGGAAGGUGGAUGGUUUUAUAAAUGAAGAUGGACUAUAAUAUUAUAAUGUUGUGCUUUUAUUAUGUAUCACAAAAGAAAAAAUUAUCACUAAAGAAGGAGUAGGAAGAAGAAUCUGUGGUCCCUUCAAUUAAUGUAAUGGGGAUCUCAAUUAGCUACAAGAGAGAGUCAGUCGUGCCUGGGCUUGUCUGUUGAAUUGGUGGGAGCAGCUGCCAGAAGCCUGUUUGCAUAUGGAUUGAGGGUCCUCUUGGGAGUGUUCUCAUUCUGAAGGAAGAAGUUGCCUGGCAACAAGAGUUUGACCCAUGGAGACAGCUUUACCCAACAGAGGAGCAAGAAAGCCUGAGUACAGUGUGGUGUCUGUCAUCUAGAUCUGUCUCCCGGCUGGAUGACAUGAAUAUAUGCCUAAGUGCCACAGAGAGUGGGGAGGCUAAAUGGACCAAGUAGAGAAAAAUAAACCUGCUUUACUAAUAUCCAUUUAAAACGGAGUACAAUGCAAUGCUUCAAGAUCCAUCUGAUAGACUAAAAUCCAAAUGGAAGGGAAGUGUUUUCCCCUUUCUUACUAAAAAUCAGUUUGGGUAUGGAGAUGUCACCAAAGCAUUCAUUAUAGUGUGUAUCAGAGCAGCGACAGUACCCGGAGAAGACUUUGAUGCCCAGUGAAGCAUUAAAAAUCAAUACCCAUAGGAUGUGGUAGUAUCCGGUGAUACUAAUUGGGAUAUGUCUGCACCUGAGGUUACGAUUAGAAGUGUAUCAUUGUUAGAGAGGUAAUCGCUGAUACGUUUUUUUGAAGAAGAAUUGUGCAAAUUCCUCUGAAAGCCUAGUGUUGUUUCUAUGAAGCCCAAUCACCUGGUAGAAUUCCUGUGGGAAGAUACAUCACUGCUAAUUCUCCUCCCUACCUAGAAAACGUCCAAAAUGUGGGUUAUUCAUGUCAAAGAUAAACAAGGCCAGACACUCGAAGUGAUACACGCCCUGCUCCUAAGACAACCAGUAUCCUCAGCUGCUUUCCAGAUCCCUUUACAGAACAAAUGGGAUUUUCCAGAUGAUUUCCACGCUAUGUGGGAGCCAAGCAAGUCUCUGAGAAGAUCAAGUCACAUCUUCUCUUUGCCGAACUUUGUCAUAGCACUAAUUUUAUUAUUUGUUAUGUUAUUGGGGGAUCCACCUGGAGAGGUGAUCUAAUCUCAAAGUCCCAAAUGAGUAUGCGGAAUUUAGAAAAAUA